UUUUUUUUUUUCUUUAACAGAUUUAUUGAGGUAUAGUUUACACACCAUAAAAUUUCCCAUUGCCUGUGCACAAUGAAUGAUGUUUAGUAAAUUUACAGAGUUCUGCAUCCAUCACCAAAAUCAAGCUUUGAAACGUUCUGUCACAGGUAGAAGGUCGUAACUGCAAGUUGUCCAGAUACCUGGCGUUUUGAACAAAGAGUUGAACGAAACGCCCAGCAAAGCAAAGAAAGAAUGAAGCAACAAAAGAAGGAAAGCAGGGAUUUAUUGAAAACAAAAGUACACUCCACAGUGUGGUAGCAGCCUGAGCAGCGGCUCAAGGGCCCGAAUACAGAAUCUUCUUUGCUCCAAAUACCCGCUAGAAGUUUCCCAUUGGCCACUUCAUGCAUACUUCGUGUAAAUGAAGUGGUAGUCCGCAAUCAGUCUGAUUGGCUGCAGAAAGCAGCCAACAAGAGGCUGAAGUUACAAAGGUCACACUCCUGUGCAAACAUCUGAUUGGUAAAGGCAACCAAUCAGAGGCUAGGAUGAAGUUACAAAGUUAUACUUCUGUGCAAAUGAAGACUGACUCAGCCCACAAUCAGUCUGAUUGGUUGUGGACGGCAACCAUUCAGAGGCUGGAGUUAAGUCACAAAGUUGCAAAGGAAGACUCCACUGGUACUCAGUCUGAUUUGUUGCAGACAGAUUUCCCGUCUGCAGCCUCCGUCCUUUUGUUACUUAGGCGUGGAAAGUUAGGGUUUUCCUUUCAACUUAGUUCUAGGAAGUCAGGGUGAAAGAGCCUUAGGUUCCCUGCCUCCAGACCCUAUUCUCCUGCCUCAAUUUCCAUCAUCCCAAAAAAGUUCCCUCGUGCCUUUUUGCAACCUUUUCAUCCCACUUCUUUCACUUAGCUUGAGGGCUUUGAGGUCAUCCACAUUGCAACAAGAAUCAAGCAGUCUUGUAAACCAUGGUAUAAAUACCCCACUUUUUAAAUAUCAGUUCACCAGUUGAUGGACAUUUAGCUUGUUUCCAUUUUUGACUAGUAGGAAUUAUGCUGCUGUGAAUAUUCACCUACAAGUCUUUGUGUUGACUUAUGUUUUAAUUUUUCUUGGAUUAGAGUUGCAAGAUUUAGCAAGUUAAAAUACAGGAUGCCGAAUUAAAUUCAAAUGUCAGAUAAACAAUACUGUUUUUAGUAUAAACAUGUUCCAUGCAAUAUUUUGGACAAACUUAUACUAAAAAAUUGUUUGUUUUUAUCUGACACACAAAUUUAACUGGGCCUCCUGUAUUUUAUCUGGCACCUCUACUGAUACCUAGAAAUGAUAUUACUGGGUUACAUAAUAGGUUUCUAUUUAACCUCUUAAGAUACUGCAAUCUGUUUUCCAAAGGGAGUGUUUACAUUCCAGCAAUGUGUGAGAUUCAUCUUUUUCUCAUCUUUAUUUACACUUGGCUAUCUGUCUUUUUAAAAACUAUAAUCAUUUGAGUGUGUGAGGAGUGGUUUCUCAUUGUGGUUUUAAUUUCAUCAAGUCUUUAUAAAGAAUUAUGUUUAUUAGCCAUUCACAUAUCUUCUUGGGAAAAUGUCAAAUCUUUUGACCAAUUUUUAUUUUUACUUUUUUUGUCACAGCCCUACACAUAAUUCAUGGCAUUCAGAACCUCACUUUAUCAACUGUUGCCAAAUUACCAUUUAAACAUUAAUACCCAAAUACAGAAUUUAGAACAUUAUUUUACAUUUUAACUCUACCAUCCCCAAUC
RNAcentral lists this long non-coding RNA (1719 nucleotides) under Macaca fascicularis (crab-eating macaque). RNAcentral's name for it is "lncRNA (ENSMFAG00000059938.1)". Lineage: Eukaryota; Metazoa; Chordata; Mammalia; Primates; Cercopithecidae. The record is from RNAcentral.